GAUUAACGCUGGCGGCGUGCAUAACACAUGCAAGUCGAACGAUGAAACUAAACUGAUUUCUUCGGAAUGAUUUUAAGUGGAUUAGUGGCGGACGGGUGAGUAACUCGCGAGUAACCUGCCUUGGAGAAGGGGAUAGCCUUCGGAUACGAAGAAUAAUACCCUAUGAUAUGAUAAUAUCUCAUGAUAUUAUCAUCAAAGAUUUAUCGCUCUAAGAUGGACUUGCGUCUGAUUAGUUAGUUGGUGAGGUAACAGCUCACCAAGGCAGCGAGCAGUAGCCGGCUUGAGGGAGCGGACGGCCCUACUGGGACUGAGACACGGACCAAACUCCUCGGGGAGGCAGCAGUGGGGAAGUUGGCACGAUGGGGGAAACACGGAUGCAGCGACGCCGCGAGAUUCAGAAGGCAUUGAGGAUGUAAAAAGCUUUUGUCUGGGAAGAAAUUGACAGUACCAAACGAAUAAGCACCGGCUAAUUACGUG
RNAcentral lists this ribosomal RNA (477 nucleotides) under uncultured bacterium. RNAcentral describes it as "partial 16S ribosomal RNA". It matches the Rfam family "Bacterial small subunit ribosomal RNA", at positions 28 to 507 of the family's 1533-position model. The record is from RNAcentral.